UGAGGAUUCUGCCAUUCAAGCGGCUCCGCUCUCAUGCUCUCAGCCAGCCGAUGUCACACGUUCAGAGGGAAGGAGAGCCACAGCACCAGGCGCACUUCUUUUAAUACUCGAAUGAUACGUGAGCUGCUCACAUGCUAGAUAAAAAAACACCUCCUGCCACUGCGGAACAGGGUGACGGAUGUCUCCCACGAGCCAAUGGCAGCGAAAGCCUGGGCGGGAAUAACCUACGCCUUCCAUCCGUCCUCGCCCCCCCUCCUUAGACCAGUCUGCAUCUGAUUCAGCGCCCAUCAGCUCCUCUCUUCAACUCCAAACCCGAUUCUUUCCCUCAAAGAUGGAUGGUUGCAGCGAUGGCGAUCUCGUUUGUUCGGAAAGCCAGAGGUAAAUUGGGAACGGCGAUAAUAAUCUGCUCAUUCCCCGGAGCAUCACCUUGGUCUGUUUCCUCCAUCCACCUCAAGGGAGGACAGGGGCCAUACGACCAUGGUGGGGGCAGGAGGAGAGUGGGGGAGGAGCUGCGAGAGGUGAUGAGAAUAACAUCACUCAUGUUUUGGCUGGGGCAAACCGCUGUGUUUAAGCGAAGCUCCUCUGACUUUGCACGUCUCCACACAGAUGAGCUGAGAGGUCAUCGAGUUCCCUGCUGCUAAAGUGACUGCCAAGUACAGCCAGACACACACUAUCAGAUGCAUAAUAAAAAUGCUGAAACUCUCUCUAUCUCUCCCUUUCUCACACACUCACAUACUCUCUGUUGCAAUACUAAGUAAAUGCAUAAUGUAAUUACUUUCUGAAAAGUGUAUUUACCAGGCUUUGGUCAAAUAAAGUAUU
Long non-coding RNA from Xyrauchen texanus (razorback sucker), 819 nucleotides. RefSeq lists it as uncharacterized. Lineage: Eukaryota; Metazoa; Chordata; Actinopteri; Cypriniformes; Catostomidae. The transcript is spliced from 3 exons. The record is from RefSeq and is a predicted model, not a curated record.